Molecule: long non-coding RNA, 1216 nt
Organism: Brassica napus (rape)
Lineage: Eukaryota; Viridiplantae; Streptophyta; Magnoliopsida; Brassicales; Brassicaceae
Exons: 2
Source: RefSeq, a predicted model, not a curated record
GAUAUCCGCGGAUAAUAGAAUAUCGAGACGGAUAUCCGAAACCCGGAUAUCCGUAAACCACGAAUCCGGAUCCGGAUAUUAAAUCCACGGAUCCGAUGGAUCCGGAUCCGGAUACCCUAAAUUUCCCGGAUAUCCGGAUCCGUCGCAGGGCUACCGAUCUUGUCUUGAUUUAAUAAUUUUGUAAUGUAAUUUUGUCUCUGUGUUUUUUUGAGACCGGCAUUGUUUGUUGGGCAGCACAUGGGGUAGGUGAACAGUAAUCGCACCUUCUAUGAGUAAAAGAUCUGAGAAGCUCGAGGAAAACAACUAUAGCCGCCGAGAAGGAGGCCCUUUAAUUGCUCUGGAAACUUAGCUUGGCCAACUGGAGGUCACCGAGAAGAUCAAAGAUGAGAAGAUCAAAGAGAACCCGUCAAGUGGUGGUUGAGAAGUACAAGCUUUGUUUUGACAAGAUCAUGAGGGCUCUGGUCGACUCCGAGGUUGUUCAGAAGAGCGCCUUGUUGAUGUCCCUGAUGGUUUCUCAGACUGGUCUGAUUGACGAGCUAUCAGCAAGGGGGAUAGAGUUGGUUUCGAGGCAGAUCAGGAGAUAUGGUUUCAAGCUCAUAAGGAAUUCCAGGCGGACAUCGAUGCAAUGGAUAUAGAUCGAUUUGAUUCAGAGAGAGAGAGAGAGGUUGAAGGUUUCAGGCGGUUUUGGUCAAGAUAAGAUUUUUUUAUCCAAAUGGAUACUAUGUUUAUGUAUUCCAAGGCUUUUGAUUGAUAUGUAAAAGUGACAACACCGGUCGCGGGAAGGCCUGGCUUAUUGAUGGGUUAAAUAAGAUGCGAACGUGCUUCGACUUAUCAUGUUUCAGAAUCCAUAUUAGGUCCGAGUGAUUUUGUUUAUCAUUAACCAAUUUGAGUGUUUUUAGGAUGCUUGGUAGUUUUUGUGCUUCUCAAGUGUUUGCGGGAAGGACCCGACAUUCGAUCCAAAAAGGUCGUGCUUAAGGUCACAUAAGGCACAACGAGUGAACUCAAAAGAUGCUUCUUUCGGCAAAAGGUGUCGUCUCACCAAGGCACCUAUAGAAGUUCUACAAUACAGAUCGGCUACAGCCUGGUCAGAGGUGUCGACGAGGGAGAUCGAAACGGUGGAGUAUGAAGUUGGAUAAAACCCUGUCUCCAACAAAUGUACUCUCUCACAUUGUUCUUAACAUGUCAAUAACCUGAAUAGGAUACAAUUAAUUUAUUA